UGGGGUAUAUUGCACAAUGGUCGCAAGCCUGAUGCAGCCAUGCCGCGUGUAUGAAGAAGGCCUUCGGGUUGUAAAGUACUUUCAUCGGGGAGGAAGGGAGUAAAGUUAAUACCUUUGCUCAUUGACGUUACCCGCAGAAGAAGCACCGGCUAACUCCGUGCCAGCAGCCGCGGUAAUACGGAGGGUGCAAGCGUUAAUCGGAAUUACUGGGCGUAAAGCGCACGCAGGCGGUUUGUUAAGUCAGGUGUGAAAUCCCCGGGCUCAACCUGGGAACUGCAUCUGAUACUGGCAAGCUGGAGUCUCGUAGAGGGGGGUAGCAUUCCAGGUGUAGCGGUGAAAUGCGUAGAGAUCUGGAGGAAUACCGGUAGCGAAGGCGGCCCCCUGGACGAAGACUGACGCUCAGGUGCGAAAGCGUGGGGAGCAAACAGG
Molecule: ribosomal RNA, 429 nt
Filed under: Chloroflexota bacterium
Lineage: Bacteria; Bacillati; Chloroflexota
Description: Chloroflexi bacterium partial 16S ribosomal RNA
Rfam family: Bacterial small subunit ribosomal RNA
Source: RNAcentral